GGGGGGGGGUGGGGGCGGGGGUAGCGGAUGCGGGUCGGACGGAAAGGCCCUGCUUUUGGGGGGUGCUCGAGUGGCGAACGGGUGAGUAACACGUGAGUAACCUGCCCUUGACUUUGGGAUAACUUCAGGAAACUGGGGCUAAUACCGGAUAGGAGCUCCUGCUGCAUGGUGGGGGUUGGACAGUUUCGGCGGUUGGGGAUGGACUCGCGGCUUAUCAGCUUGUCGGUGGGGUAGUGGCUUACCAAGGCUUUGACGGGUAGCCGGCCGGAGAGGGUGACCGGCCACAUUGGGACUGAGAUACGGCCCAGACUCCUACGGGAGGCAGCAGUGGGGAAUAUUGCACAAUGGGCGGAAGCCUGAUGCAGCAACGCCGCGUGCGGGAUGACGGCCUUCGGGUUGUAAACCGCUUUCGCCUGUGACGAAGCGUGAGUGACGGUAAUGGGUAAAGAAGCACCGGCUAACUACGUG
Molecule: ribosomal RNA, 468 nt
Filed under: uncultured bacterium
Lineage: Bacteria
Description: partial 16S ribosomal RNA
Rfam family: Bacterial small subunit ribosomal RNA
Source: RNAcentral